GGCGAUGUGGUGGAAUUGGUAGACACGCGGCACUCAAAAUGCCGUGCCUUCGGGCGUGACGGUUCGACUCCGUCCAUCGCUACCA
This 85-nucleotide transfer RNA is filed under the name Gammaproteobacteria bacterium. RNAcentral's name for it is "tRNA-Leu". It matches the Rfam family "tRNA". From Rfam's summary of the family: Transfer RNA (tRNA) molecules are approximately 80 nucleotides in length. Their secondary structure includes four short double-helical elements and three loops (D, anti-codon, and T loops). Further hydrogen bonds mediate the characteristic L-shaped molecular structure. tRNAs have two regions of fundamental functional importance: the anti-codon, which is responsible for specific mRNA codon recognition, and the 3' end, to which the tRNAs corresponding amino acid is attached (by aminoacyl-tRNA synthetases). tRNAs cope with the degeneracy of the genetic code in two manners: having more than one tRNA (with a specific anti-codon) for a particular amino acid; and 'wobble' base-pairing, i.e. permitting non-standard base-pairing at the 3rd anti-codon position. The record is from RNAcentral. Lineage: Bacteria; Pseudomonadati; Pseudomonadota; Gammaproteobacteria.